AAAAAAUUAAACUCUAGGUUUUGGUGUCCAACUUUUACUAUCCGUUUUAUAUAAAUUUUUUUUAUAAUUCGUAUUUUUAUUGUUGUUAAAUGAUAAAACAUGAUUAAUAUUUUAUACGUAACUUGUCUUUUUAAUUUUUUUUAUAAUUUUUUUAAAUAAGACGGACGGUUAAACAUUGGACACAGAAAUCAGG
Non-coding RNA from Oryza glumipatula, 193 nucleotides. The record is from Rfam. NCBI's taxonomy places the organism in Eukaryota, Viridiplantae, Streptophyta, Magnoliopsida, Poales, Poaceae.